GCCCACCCCUCGCCCCCGCAGAACUCCACCCUCCCCCACCCCGGAGCCGCCUGGUUCCUCCUCCGCAGAACCCGCCUCCACUCACUCCUCCUCCGCCUCCAGCGCCACCUCGUAUCUCCUCAUUCCCGACAUGUCCUGGGCUCCGAACGUCUCCUGGGGAGCGGCAUGAUUGAAUCAGGGAUUCCCUAGCCCCAGGUCCCCUUCUCCGUCAUUCUCAGGACGAGGCUGCCCAGUUCUCAGGUUGUUGUGGUGGUAUUACUACUACUCAGCAAGAUUCUGGUUUUACUUCUCAUCUUGGGAGUUACCAUCAAGACGUUAGGUAUGGCUGUGUGACCCACUUUGGCCAAUGAAAUGUGAACAGAAAUGGCAUAUGUCACUUGUGGACAAAAACAUUUAAGCAAGAAUUUCCCUUGCUGUCUUCCUUGACUGGAGCGACCAUGGAAGCCUGUGUUGAGAUGAAGAGGCUGCCAACAGAUCAAAACACUUGAAAACUUGAGCAGCCACAUGGACUACAACUGUGCUGGAGACUUGCCUGGACCCACAGCAGGCUUGACAUUGCCCAGACUGGUCUCAAAUUCCUGGGCUGAAAUGAUCCUCCUGCUUUGGCCUCCCAAAGUGCAGGGAUUACAGUCAUGAACCACUGAGCCUGGCCCAUCUUGGCACUUUUGAUCGUGGACUUCUAACCUUCAGAACUGUGAGAAAAUAAAUUUCUGUUGUUUAAGCUACACAGUCUAUGGAAUUUUGUUAUGACUACCUGAACAGACUAAGAUGGAUGUGGUAAUUUCUAAGGCUCUGAGUUGUCUGUCUUUCGGGGGGGUGAAUUUUUUUUGGCUGUAUAAACAAAGGUGAUAUUAUGUUAGGUGAUACGCUCAAUUUUCUAAGAAGUCUA
RNAcentral lists this long non-coding RNA (889 nucleotides) under Homo sapiens (human). Its description in RNAcentral is "HSALNT0351747". The record is from RNAcentral. Lineage: Eukaryota; Metazoa; Chordata; Mammalia; Primates; Hominidae.